CCUGACACCACAGACACAGCAGCUCAGGGAGAGGAUUGGUGAGAAACUGCUGCAGCUGAGGAGGGAAGAGGCCGUGGUGCUGAGUGAGUCUCCGAGGCUGUGUCUGGUGUGUGACGAGCAGGUGGAGCAACACGCAGCCUUACGGAAGGUUAAGUGCACUACACACUAAGGUGUUUUUUCAUUCACAGACAAAACAUAAUGAAGAUAGUCUUAAGUACUCUGAUGUACCCGAGGCAGCUCUUGGUACCUGCCAGAGUUUUUACCUCAAGAAGACCAAGUUUCCCUCACAUAUAUAUCUACUUGGACCGAAUUUUUUGUCCACACCAAACCCACUGAGGCAGCACAUGGCAUCUUUUUACCAGAGCUUUUACCUCAAAAAGACUCAGAGUUUCCCUCACACAUACCAUUUAUAGAGGACUUCGUGGUGCAGUGGUUAGCACACUCGGCUCACAACCGAGAGAGCCCGGGUUCGAUUCCUGGGCGGAGUGGAAAAAUUUGGGCGACUUUUCCGAUACCCGACGCCCCUGUCCAGCCAGCAGUGAAUGGGUACCAGGUAUUAAUCGGGGGUUGUGUCCCGUCUCCUGGGAUCUGUUCCCUUCUAUAAUUCCUUCCCUUCUGUCUCUCCGGCAUAUGACCACAGAUGUUGCGCCGACUAAACCAAACUUUCCAACUUUCUACAUACCAUUUAUUUAUUUUCACCCAAUUCCUUGUUACAUAUGUCACCCAUUCAGGCAGCUUUAAUACUCUUUUACCAGAGCUAGAAGACAAAGCUAUCCUCACUUAUCUAACCAACACUUAACCACCAUAACUUUGACCACACAUAACCCCUUGAGGCAGCUUUCUACCCUCGUACUAGAGCAACCUUUUUUAACCAGACAAGUUUCCCUCACACCACAACACACAGAGGUACACACUAAUUCACCCUCUUUCCCCCUCUCCCCCCCUUACAGGGAACAUCCAGAGCGGCCACAGCGCAUCCAGCGGGUGUGGGAGGUGCUGGGGCGUGCCGGGGUGCUGGGGUGAGGCCAGCGGCUGCAGCCUCGGUGGCCCAGCGUGAGGAGGUGGAGCUCCCACACAGCCAGGAACACAUGGCCUUC
Eriocheir sinensis (Chinese mitten crab) is the source of this 1097-nucleotide long non-coding RNA. RefSeq lists it as uncharacterized. Lineage: Eukaryota; Metazoa; Arthropoda; Malacostraca; Decapoda; Varunidae. The record is from RefSeq and is a predicted model, not a curated record. The transcript is spliced from 3 exons.